GGUGUGGCACAGUGUUAGUGUUUAGGGCUUGGGCUCUGGAGCCCUGAAGCCUGGAUUCAAAUUCCAGCCACACUU
RNAcentral lists this transfer RNA (75 nucleotides) under Camelus bactrianus (Bactrian camel). It matches the Rfam family "tRNA". Rfam says of the family: Transfer RNA (tRNA) molecules are approximately 80 nucleotides in length. Their secondary structure includes four short double-helical elements and three loops (D, anti-codon, and T loops). RNAcentral also lists the same sequence under 2 other names. The record is from Rfam by way of RNAcentral. Lineage: Eukaryota; Metazoa; Chordata; Mammalia; Artiodactyla; Camelidae.